AUGUCACCACAGAGGAGGCGGCGCCAUGUUCUGAGGGACAGCCCUGUUCCUGACAGGGAACAGAUUCUGCACCUCCUGCCUGCAGGGGAAAGAUCCUACAUGGUCAGAACACCUCCUGCCAGCAGCCUGCUUGGUAGGAUCCUGCUGAAGGGGGACAGGCUGGGAGCUACAAGACGCUUUUUUCGGUUCCUACUUUUGAUGCUCUGUACAUCAGAUGUCUCACUCCAGGUACCCAGACUUUUCCAAUGCUUUCCUGUAUCCGUCUUCCUACUGUCAGCCAGCGCUUCAAGCAGACGUGAAGGACUGCAAAUGGCAGUUCCUGCAGAAAUCACCAACAGGCAGAAACUGCACGUAGUUCUUCCUGCUCGUGAGAAUUUCCAUGCACUUCAAUAAAUAUAUGUUGUUGCCCUCUACAAGAUGUCAAGUUGUGCCACUGCAAAUUUAAAAGUAGCCCACAGGGGAAUAGCACGGGGAUCACAGAAUCAUGACUUGGGUUGGAAGGGACCUAAAGGGUCCUCAGGCUCCAACCCCCCUGCUGCAGGCACGGCUACCAACCCCCGUAUAUAACACUAGACCAGGUAGUCCAGGGCCCCAUCCAGCCUGGCCUUGAUCACCUCCGGGGAUGGGGCAUCCACAACAUCUCUGGGCAGCCUCCUCCAGCACCUCACCGCUUUCUCUGAAAAGAACUUCCCUCCCUGCUAUCCAACCCAAAUCUUCCCUCUCUCUACUUAAAACCAUUUUCCCUUAACCUGCUAUUAUUUUCUCUUGUAAAGAAUUGGCUGCCCUUCUGCUUAUCGGUGGAUAAGCAAUGAGGCCUUCUUGUCCACCUGGGCACGCUGCUUAAUCAUAUUCAGCUGACUGUCCAUCAGUACAGCAAGGUGCUUUUCUGCCCGGCCUCUUUCCAGCCACUCCUCCCUAAGCCUGCAGGAUUGCCUUGGGUUCUUUACAGCAAAAUGCAGGACCUGACAUUUGGCCCUAUUGAAACUCAUGCUGUUUGCCUUGGCCAAUCAAUCCAGUCUAUCCAGGUCCCUCUGUAGUGCCAUUCUUAUCUCUGGCAGAUGAACACUCCCUCUCAUCUUGGUGUUGUCUAAAAUCUUACCAAGGGUUCAUUCGUUUCCCUCAUCAUGAUCGUUAAUAAAUACGUUAUAUAGAAGCA
RNAcentral lists this long non-coding RNA (1156 nucleotides) under Coturnix japonica (Japanese quail). RNAcentral's name for it is "lncRNA (ENSCJPG00005014899.1)". The record is from RNAcentral. Lineage: Eukaryota; Metazoa; Chordata; Aves; Galliformes; Phasianidae.